This 22-nucleotide microRNA is filed under the name Ornithorhynchus anatinus (platypus). RNAcentral describes it as "Oan-Mir-1421-P2_3p* (star (passenger))". The record is from RNAcentral. Lineage: Eukaryota; Metazoa; Chordata; Mammalia; Monotremata; Ornithorhynchidae.
UGCAUCACGUGUAACCUUCCUA